This 201-nucleotide ribosomal RNA is filed under the name uncultured bacterium. RNAcentral describes it as "partial 16S ribosomal RNA". It matches the Rfam family "Bacterial small subunit ribosomal RNA", at positions 1300 to 1500 of the family's 1533-position model. The record is from RNAcentral.
GCAGCCUGCAACUCGGCUGCAUGAAGCUGGAAUCGCUAGUAAUCGCGGAUCAGAAUGCCGCGGUGAAUACGUUCCCGGGUCUUGUACACACCGCCCGUCACACCAUGGGAGUCGGGAAUGCCCGAAGUCAGUGACCCAACCGAAAGGGGGGAGCUGCCGAAGGCAGGCCUGGUAACUGGGGUGAAGUCGUAACAAGGUACC